GCCGGGAUAGUCUAGUCCGGUAAGGCGGCGGCCUUGAAAGCCGCUGGUGCUCUGCACCUCGGGAGUUCAAAUCUCCCUCCCGGCG
This 85-nucleotide transfer RNA is filed under the name Methanoculleus sp. Its description in RNAcentral is "tRNA-Ser". It matches the Rfam family "tRNA". From Rfam's summary of the family: Transfer RNA (tRNA) molecules are approximately 80 nucleotides in length. Lineage: Archaea; Methanobacteriati; Methanobacteriota; Methanomicrobia; Methanomicrobiales; Methanomicrobiaceae. The record is from RNAcentral.